RNAcentral lists this ribosomal RNA (207 nucleotides) under uncultured bacterium. RNAcentral's name for it is "partial 16S ribosomal RNA". It matches the Rfam family "Bacterial small subunit ribosomal RNA", at positions 568 to 774 of the family's 1533-position model. The record is from RNAcentral.
CGAGUAGACGGUUAUCCAAGUCGGUUGUGAAAACUUAGUGCUCAACAUUAAGCGUGCAACUGAAACUGGACUACUAGAGUGCAGGAGAGGAAAAUGGAACUCCUAGUGUAGCGGUGAAAUGCGUAGAUAUUAGGAGGAACACCAGUGGCGAAGGCGAUUUUCUGGACUGUAACUGACGUUGAGGAGCGAAAGUGUGGGGAGCAAACA